AUGUAUGCAUUCUGUAUGCUAGGCAGCUUGCAGGGAAACAUGGACGUGCAAAGUCAACUGGCUGCAUCGCAGGGAAGGCCUUUCCACUCCUCUUCAUCCAGCUGUUUGGAGAGAAGUGGCUGCGCUCUGAAAGGGAGGAUGGAGCAGCUCACCAGGCACCCAGGUAAGGCCCAAGAAAUAAUAAUCUUUUGCAGUAUCCCUAAUGAUUCCUCUCCUAGCAAGCACCAGAUAGUCUUACUGAAGAGAUCUCGUUACCGAAUGUUUGCUUAUGAUGGCAUCUUUAUGCUCAUUGCUGUGUGUCUGAGUGCUGAGAGUCGCAGAGCUCCCAAAGAAAGCUGCAGGCUUGCUGUGAGAGCUCACGGCUGUGCAAUAUCCAGGCAAGCUAGAAAAAAAUCAGCCUGACCUUCAGACCAAAGCUGUUGAACUUUGUGCUUUGCAAAAGACAACAACUGAUGCGACCAAAUAACAGGUUCUGGAAGGCUUUGGGAAAAAAAUUGACUGCUACCUGUCUCUCCUGCUAAUAAUUGCCUUGCAAAUGUCAGCAGGGCACUGAAAUUACACCAUGCUGGUAAUGCUGUGGGUAGGAGCUGCUACCAAGGAAGAAGAGCCUAUAAAAGCAAUCUGCUGUUUGGAACAGUUUCCAAGGCCGGCAAUAUUUGCCCUCAGAUUUAGAAAUCUUUUUGAACAAGCUGCUGUUUCCCAUAAUGAAUUGGAAAUGUUCUGAAGAUUGAUACACACAAUUUUGUUGUGACUCCCCAUUGGAAAAAAUCCCUGAAGGAACUUGCACGUGGGAAAUCUAGUGCUUUUAUAGAUAUUUUUAAGCAUCAUGAUGGUUUGAGUUUCUAAAGUAUUAGAGUGAAGGGAAAUAAUUUUUAGGAGGUUCCAGCAAUUGGGUUCCUUUAAAUGCACUUUUUUAAACCUGUACAGAGGAGAAGGGGGUUGAUAAGGCCAUAGGUUGGUCAAGCUGGAAUCUUGCCUUUAAUUUAGAAAAAGAAAUGACCUGUCUGAUAUUAUUGCCCACACACAAGCAUUGGAAUGCCUUCCACAUAGCAGUAAUAGCAAUGAAGACUUUGUGGAGUUUGGGCUUGUUAGAGGAGAGGUUUUAAUCUCGCUCCCCAGAAACUGCAGAUUUCCAGGUGUUCCCCAGUGCCCUACAAGAGCAGCAAAUGUUCUUCCUGAUCACCGUAGGGUUCUGCUCAUCACUGGAAAGAUGAGAUUUGAUUACUGUAGCAAGUGUAAUUAACAAAUAAGAAUAACCCAACCAUUUCUUUAAACCUCCAGCCACUGUAACUCCCUGCAGGUAGAAAAGUUAAAAUAGAAAUACAGAGAGGACAAAUGCAAAAUGAGGAAAGCCACAAACACAGUGCUUCUGCCACCAAGGUCUGGGGUCACUGGCGGAGUUGCAGAAGCAAAUGUUCUCUCAUUUGCUUCUAGUGCAGUUAUUUUGCUGGUGCUUAAUGCCCAUUGUUUGCUUUGAUGCCCUGGUGGCUGGCAUUUUAAUAAUAUGUAGGCAGGUUAGAGUAAAUUAGUCUACAGAAGAGAAUUAUGUCAGUCAUUACUGGAGUCAGGGGAUACAUUACACCUUUGUCAUUACUGUGCUAAGACACAUUCUAGUGAGGCAAAAAUAAAACUACAUUUGAGGGAGGCA
This 1648-nucleotide long non-coding RNA is filed under the name Anas platyrhynchos platyrhynchos (common mallard). Its description in RNAcentral is "lncRNA (ENSAPLG00000018106.1)". Lineage: Eukaryota; Metazoa; Chordata; Aves; Anseriformes; Anatidae. The record is from RNAcentral.